RNAcentral lists this long non-coding RNA (244 nucleotides) under Amborella trichopoda. Its description in RNAcentral is "long non-coding RNA (ATRI_LNC000105)". The record is from RNAcentral. Lineage: Eukaryota; Viridiplantae; Streptophyta; Magnoliopsida; Amborellales; Amborellaceae.
CUGUAUCUAGUUAAUAACACAAUCCCAACCACUUAAAAUUACAUGUAAUGGUCGAUAAUAAUUAUAACUUCCUUAAACCAAAAGUAAAUAUUCAUAUUUCUUUCUUUUUUUUUCUUUUUUAUGUUUUGGGUUUAUUUCAUUUGUUUGAAGAUUCUCUUUUGGGGUUUUUUAGGUGCUUGGCAGAUAUUUGGCUCGUCAAAUAUAGAUUUUUACUUUAACAUACUAAGAGACAUCCGAUCUCAUU